This 494-nucleotide ribosomal RNA is filed under the name uncultured bacterium. Its description in RNAcentral is "partial 16S ribosomal RNA". It matches the Rfam family "Bacterial small subunit ribosomal RNA", at positions 28 to 507 of the family's 1533-position model. The record is from RNAcentral.
GACGAACGCUGGCGGCGUGCUUAACACAUGCAAGUCGAACGGUGAAGCGCCUUCCUUUUUGGUGGGUGUGGAUGAGUGGCGAACGGGUGAGUAACACGUGAGUAACCUGCCCCCUUCUUCUGGAUAACCGCAUGAAAGUGUGGCUAAUACGGGAUAUUCUGGGUCUGUCGCAUGAUGGGUCUGGGAAAGAUAUUGUUUCGGUGGGGGAUGGGCUCGCGGCCUAUCAGCUUGUUGGUGGGGUGAUGGCCUACCAAGGCGGUGACGGGUAGCCGGCCUGAGAGGGUGGACGGUCACACUGGGACUGAGACACGGCCCAGACUCCUACGGGAGGCAGCAGUGGGGAAUAUUGCACAAUGGGCGCAAGCCUGAUGCAGCGACGCCGCGCGAGGGAUGGAGGCCUUCGGGUUGUGAACCUCUUUCGCCAGUGAAGCAGGCCUGCCCCGUUUGUGGGUGGGUUGACGGUAGCUGGAUAAGAAGCGCCGGCUAACUACGUG